AACCAAAGGUGAGGUUACACUGCUGACUGUCAAAGGGGAAAUAAGAGACGUCCACCCUACAUGAGCUCUUGGUAAUAGCAGGGGAGUCCCAGAACGAUGUCUGGUCUCCAAACAAGGCUACUGGGUAUUCGAAUGACCUCAAGUCCAUCAUACUCAUCUUUGUCCCAGCUUAGGUAUGCAUCAUGCCAGAUUUGACGCACCCACAGGUCUUUCCUUGCUUGCAUCCUAGAAGGGUGGAGCUAAGACACAAGGAAAGGAAGCAAGGAAAGGAACCGAGGAUCCAUAAAGAAGAAUUGAGAAGCACCCAGUGACCGUUGGCGACUGGAUGUGGCGUGUCCAGUCGCGCGACAAAGUUGAGAAAUGUUAACUUUAUGCAAAUUAUGAGCGACUUUUGGGAGCGACUACCAAUGAGAACGAAGCAGUGGAGUUCACGUCAUCCGUCUCUCGUCAGUAGUCCACUGGAGUGGACGGUAAUCAUUUGUUUAUGACAACCAGAUUUAGAAACACCUCUUUUGAAAGAGACGAGCGCCAAACAGGGACAAGUUGCUUAUAAUGUGAAUGUACCUUAA
Paramisgurnus dabryanus is the source of this 569-nucleotide non-coding RNA. The record is from RefSeq and is a predicted model, not a curated record. Lineage: Eukaryota; Metazoa; Chordata; Actinopteri; Cypriniformes; Cobitidae.